CCUACGGGGGGCAGCAGUAGGGAAUAUUGCUCAAUGGGGGAAACCCUGAAGCAGCAACGCCGCGUGGAGGAUGAAGGUUUUCGGAUUGUAAAAUCCUUUUGUUAGAGAAGAUAAUGACGGUAUCUAACGAAUAAGCACCGGCCAACUACGGGCCAGCAGCCGCGGUAAUACGGAGGGUGCAAGCGUUACUCGGAAUCACUGGGCGUAAAGAGCGCGUAGGCGGGAUAGCAAGUCAGAUGGGAAAGCCUAUGGCUUAACCAUAGAACUGCAUUUGAAACUGUUAUUCUAGAGUGUGGGAGAGGUAGGUGGAAUGCUUGGUGUAGGGGUAAAAUCCGUAGAGAUCAAGAGGAAUACUCAUUGCGAAGGCGACCUGCUAGAACAUAACUGACGCUGAUGCGCGAAAGCGUGGGGAGCAAACAGGAUUAGAUACCCCAGUAGUC
This 440-nucleotide ribosomal RNA is filed under the name uncultured bacterium. RNAcentral's name for it is "partial 16S ribosomal RNA". It matches the Rfam family "Bacterial small subunit ribosomal RNA", at positions 338 to 795 of the family's 1533-position model. The record is from RNAcentral.